This is a non-coding RNA of Podarcis lilfordi (Lilford's wall lizard), 223 nucleotides long. Lineage: Eukaryota; Metazoa; Chordata; Lepidosauria; Squamata; Lacertidae. The record is from the annotation of a GenBank genome assembly.
CUUAACACUACAAACAACACAAGCAACACAAUGACCAGUAUACUAGCUAGCACUGCAAUUCUUAUUGCAUAAUAUACAUAAUUUGGUACAACAAAACCAAAACCAAAAAACAAAAACACUAUUUUGUUUUUGUUGUACCAAAUUAUGUAUAUUAUGCAAUAAGAAUUGCAGUGCUAUCUAGUAUACUGGUCAUCGUGUUGCUUGUGUUGUUUGUAGUGUUGAG